GCGCCGUUGGUUUAGUGAUAAAAUUAUUUACGUUUGCCAACCGAGAUGGCCCCUGGUUUUCGAUUCCCGGACGGCGCA
Molecule: non-coding RNA, 78 nt
Organism: Phytophthora infestans T30-4
Lineage: Eukaryota; Oomycota; Peronosporomycetes; Peronosporales; Peronosporaceae
Source: the annotation of a RefSeq genome assembly